AAGGAAGCCAGCUUCUUCUUGUAGCUAACCUGACCAAAGAUCAACUAGGACAAUCUGUUCACCUUGCACAUUUGGAGCUCAGGAUAACGCACGCAGGUAGUGGAGUACCUGAAGCAUUGCUGAACCAAAUGUUCGGAAGCGAUGAAGAUGCAUCGGAGGAUGGUAUUAGUUUGCUAAUCAGCCGAAAGUUGGUAAAACUCAUGAAUGGAGAUAUCCAGUAUUUAAGGGAAGCUGGCAGGUCAACAUUCAUCAUGACGGUUGAACUCGUGGCAGC
Hibiscus syriacus is the source of this 274-nucleotide long non-coding RNA. RefSeq lists it as uncharacterized. The record is from RefSeq and is a predicted model, not a curated record. NCBI's taxonomy places the organism in Eukaryota, Viridiplantae, Streptophyta, Magnoliopsida, Malvales, Malvaceae. The transcript is spliced from 2 exons.